This 638-nucleotide ribosomal RNA is filed under the name uncultured ciliate. RNAcentral describes it as "SSU rRNA". It matches the Rfam family "Eukaryotic small subunit ribosomal RNA", at positions 341 to 999 of the family's 1831-position model. The record is from RNAcentral. Lineage: Eukaryota; Ciliophora.
CUACCAUGGCAGUCACGGGUAACGGAGAAUUAGGGUUCGAUUCCGGAGAAGGAGCCUGAGAAACGGCUACUACAACUACGGUUCGGCAGCAGGGAAGAAAAUUGGCCAAUCCUAAUUCAGGGAGCCAGUGACAAGAAAUAGCAAGCUGGGAAACUUAGUUUCUACGGCAUUGAAAUGAGAAAAGUGUAAAUCUCUUAGCGAGGAACAAUUGGAGGGCAAGUCAUGGUGCCAGCAGCCGCGGUAAUUCCAGCUCCAAUAGCGUAUAUUAAAGUUGUUGCAGUUAAAAAGCUCGUAGUUGAACUUCUAUUCAAGUUCAUUUCGACUCGUCGAGUGAAAUUGGAUAUACGUCUGCAAACUAAAAUCGGCCUUUACUGGUUCGACUUAGGGAGUAGACAUUUUACUGUGAAAAAAUUAGAGUGUUUCAGGCAGGUUUUAGCCCGAAUACAUUAGCAUGGAAUAAUGGAAUAGGACUAAGUCCAUUUUAUUGGUUCUUGGAUUUGGUAAUGAUUAAUAGGGGCAGUUGGGGGCAUUAGUAUUUAAUAGUCAGAGGUGAAAUUCUUGGAUUUAUUAAGGACUAACUAAUGCGAAAGCAUUUGCCAAAGAUGUUUUCAUUAAUCAAGAACGAAAGUUAGGGGAUC